RNAcentral lists this ribosomal RNA (796 nucleotides) under Vibrio campbellii. RNAcentral describes it as "bacterial SSU rRNA". It matches the Rfam family "Bacterial small subunit ribosomal RNA", at positions 115 to 907 of the family's 1533-position model. The record is from RNAcentral. Lineage: Bacteria; Pseudomonadati; Pseudomonadota; Gammaproteobacteria; Vibrionales; Vibrionaceae.
GCCUAGGAAAUUGCCCUGAUGUGGGGGAUAACCAUUGGAAACGAUGGCUAAUACCGCAUAACGCCUACGGGCCAAAGAGGGGGACCUUCGGGCCUCUCGCGUCAGGAUAUGCCUAGGUGGGAUUAGCUAGUUGGUGAGGUAAGGGCUCACCAAGGCGACGAUCCCUAGCUGGUCUGAGAGGAUGAUCAGCCACACUGGAACUGAGACACGGUCCAGACUCCUACGGGAGGCAGCAGUGGGGAAUAUUGCACAAUGGGCGCAAGCCUGAUGCAGCCAUGCCGCGUGUGUGAAGAAGGCCUUCGGGUUGUAAAGCACUUUCAGUCGUGAGGAAGGUAGUGUAGUUAAUAGCUGCAUUAUUUGACGUUAGCGACAGAAGAAGCACCGGCUAACUCCGUGCCAGCAGCCGCGGUAAUACGGAGGGUGCGAGCGUUAAUCGGAAUUACUGGGCGUAAAGCGCAUGCAGGUGGUUUGUUAAGUCAGAUGUGAAAGCCCGGGGCUCAACCUCGGAAUUGCAUUUGAAACUGGCAGACUAGAGUACUGUAGAGGGGGGUAGAAUUUCAGGUGUAGCGGUGAAAUGCGUAGAGAUCUGAAGGAAUACCGGUGGCGAAGGCGGCCCCCUGGACAGAUACUGACACUCAGAUGCGAAAGCGUGGGGAGCAAACAGGAUUAGAUACCCUGGUAGUCCACGCCGUAAACGAUGUCUACUUGGAGGUUGUGGCCUUGAGCCGUGGCUUUCGGAGCUAACGCGUUAAGUAGACCGCCUGGGGAGUACGGUCGCAAGAUUAAAACUCAAAUG